RNAcentral lists this ribosomal RNA (250 nucleotides) under Sarcophaga peregrina. RNAcentral's name for it is "partial 16S ribosomal RNA". The record is from RNAcentral. Lineage: Eukaryota; Metazoa; Arthropoda; Insecta; Diptera; Sarcophagidae.
UUCUGAAAUUUAUAGUAGAAUUUUAUUUUUUAGUCAAAAAGCUAAAAUAAAAUUAAAAGACGAGAAGACCCUAUAAAUCUUUAUACAUAGAUUAUUAGAAUUUUGUAGAUUUUUUUUAUUACAAUAAUUAAUUGUAUUUUAUUGGGGUGAUAUUAAAAUUUAAUAAACUUUUAAUUUUUAAAAUCAUUAAUUUAUGAAUAAUUGAUCCGUUAAUAACGAUUAAAAAAAUAAGUUACCUUAGGGAUAACAG